This is a long non-coding RNA of Pseudophryne corroboree (corroboree frog), 1359 nucleotides long. RefSeq lists it as uncharacterized. The transcript is spliced from 4 exons. The record is from RefSeq and is a predicted model, not a curated record. NCBI's taxonomy places the organism in Eukaryota, Metazoa, Chordata, Amphibia, Anura, Myobatrachidae.
AACAAAGUUCCUGCUACGGUCAACUCAGAAUUACCCCCAAUGUCUCAUUAACAUCUUCCUAACAACACUGUAACAUUUUGUUUUGCAGCAUUUAUAAUUGUAUUUAAACAGACCCUAAGUUCAGUAGUGCUUGGUGUAACUUGGCCACAAGCAGGUUCGAGAAACAUCCAGAUGCUGGAGAAAUUCCCCAGCCACACUCUCCAUCCGGGACAAAUCCAAAAACAACCACAGUGCAAUAACAGAGAAAUUGAUCCCUAAACGCUCAUAAGAGCAUUGAACUUUCUGUAUACUAUCAGCUUUUGAAGUUUGGUAAGCGAUCCAAGCAGUCCGGGACUUGUUUUGAAAUGUGGUCUCCAUAACAACCCUUGAUGCCGUAGUGAUUACGAGAGCGAAUGGUUACCGUGACAACGGGUAACAACAUGACGCGAUGACGUAAUGACGCACUGACGUACGCCUCCUCAUGUGACCGGAGGAGGAGAUUCUGAACGCAUUCACACAAGGGAGUUGGAGAUCAGAGGAGAUCAUGACGCUCCAUUGAGAGAUCACGUGACCGGACUGAUAGAGCAUAGCGACAUCCCGAUUGGAAACACUCAGAGAGGAUGUCAUAGGGAGGCGGUACCCGGCACACGAGUGUCAGAGACUAUUAGGAUGAUCUAUGUAUAGUGACCAGCUGUGCCGGGACCAAUCAUAGGAGAGAGGGGGAUUUUUAAACCAGACCAGGAGAUAGAUGAGGCAUUCACAGAGGGAGCUGACCUUGAGAAAGACCCAGGCAGGGUCGGAACGCGUGGGUGCCCCAGUGGACUUAGCUGACCAGAGGAGGACGUGGUACAUCUAUGCCAGAUUAAGAAGGCUGAAUUGACACCAGAGAACUCUCCCGCUGCAGCCGGAAAGGCCUGAUGUCUGCACGCCUGUGGAACUGUAUUUUGCCAGUUUCUACCUUUUUCUGGAAUUGAUGCUGCUUGGUAGUCAGCGAGCUACCGAAACCCAUGAAAAAUAUAUUUUAUUGCUUUUUUAUUGCGCUCAAAGGAAUUAUUGCAAUGCCUUGCGUCUGCUUUAAUGAGCAUGUGUGAAAGAAUAGAAAAAAGACAGAGAAACAAAACUGGAGAACUGAAUGUCUACAACAAAUAGCUCCAAUACAGAUUCCUAUAAAGUUCUAUGACUGUUUAUCAUGGACUACAUUAUGGAAAUAAACUGCAGCGGGAUCCGGUUGCCAUAGUGACACUCAUAAACAAAUUAUGUGUAUGACGCCCUGCAUAACGAUACCUCUUUUAGCCAUGCCCCGUCUGGUGAUAUGGACGUUCUUAAGAGGAGAUUCAGGGAGGAAGUGAUGACGGAUCCUAGCUAGAAGAUGGGACUGUG